Chinchilla lanigera (long-tailed chinchilla) is the source of this 608-nucleotide long non-coding RNA. RefSeq lists it as uncharacterized. The record is from RefSeq and is a predicted model, not a curated record. The transcript is spliced from 3 exons. Lineage: Eukaryota; Metazoa; Chordata; Mammalia; Rodentia; Chinchillidae.
UAAAAAAGAUCUAAUUGUGAAGUUCAUUUGCUUUAUGCCCUGGAUUUUUCUACCCAAGUAGGAUGAAGACAGACAAGACAGGAAGACAAUGCUUUGUCCUUCAAAAUCUUAUCAGCAGUCACCAGAGGCCACAGUUAGCCAGAGUUAAAAGUGUCGACAACUGCAGCCAUAGCGGCUUGUUUACCCUUUCCACUGGAUAACAGAGAGGGAAACUGAUUCUCCAGGGCCAGCAGCUCUCUCUGAAUUUCACCUGAAGCUCUUCCAGUGCUCAGCUGAUGGGAGCGCAGAGGUAACGCUCAGUGAAUGUUCGCCCCUGGAUGGCUGCGAAGAAACGGAUGACGGUCUGCCUCACUAUCAAGCUUCCGGCUACAGGCCCAUGGGUUUGCUAAAGGUUUGGUUCUCCGGCGGUAACCCUGAAGAGGCUCGUGGGCGGUGUGCAGGGCGCCCCUGCGGGAGACCAUGGGACCCAGUCCCCUUCUUCACUGUCUUCUGCUUCCUGGCCAUCAGGCAGUGUGUUUGCUGCGUGAGCUGCUCCUCCUCAUAGGCUGAAACAAGGGAGCCUGUCAAUUAUGGGAUGGAAGCUCCAAAACUGUGGGCCAAAAUAAACG